RNAcentral lists this transfer RNA (62 nucleotides) under Caligus clemensi. Its description in RNAcentral is "tRNA-Pro". Lineage: Eukaryota; Metazoa; Arthropoda; Copepoda; Siphonostomatoida; Caligidae. The record is from RNAcentral.
AUUGGGGUAGUUUAUAAAAAUAUUAGCUUUGGAAGUUAAAGAAAAACAUUGUUUUUCCAAUA